Molecule: long non-coding RNA, 508 nt
Filed under: Lathyrus oleraceus (garden pea)
Lineage: Eukaryota; Viridiplantae; Streptophyta; Magnoliopsida; Fabales; Fabaceae
Description: Pisum sativum (pea) long non-coding RNA (PSAT_LNC011087)
Source: RNAcentral
UUUAUUUUUCACAAUAUAUAUAUUCUUACAUACUUUAAUUCUGAACAUACAAAAGAUACAGCCUUUUUUAUUUAGCUUUUAUCGAUUCAUAAAUUGACUCAUCAUUUACGACAACAACAACGCACUGACUUAGGAUAAAUUAUAUAGCAGGCACCACCAUAUCUAUAGCCUUUUCCAUAACACUCUUGAUAGCAUUGUAAAUCUGACGUGCAAUCACCCUCUUGACAUUUUAAAUACAAAGGACUAUACUCACCACUUGAUAAUCCUACAAUAAAAUCAAGUUAAUUUAUAUUUGUGUUAGUUUUCUUUUUUAAAGAAUAUUUGAGUUUGUUUAUUGUAUUUGAAGUAAGCAAUUCAAAAAAUAAAAUAAACGUGUAUUCACUACCUGAAAACAAAAUCAUAGAAAUGAUCAAAAUCCAACAAAGAUAAGAUUGGUUGAUAUAAAUGAAAGCCAUUAUUGUUCAAAAUUUUACCUUAUGUUAUUUCUCUUGUAGAUUUAAGACUUACA